GCGGGGGUGACCGAGUCCGGCCAAACCAAAAAAAUAAUAAACAUGAGGUUUGAGGUGCUAGGCUUAGGACCUAGUGGCGUAGGCCUGCGUGGGUUCAAAUCCCAUCCCCCGCACCA
RNAcentral lists this transfer RNA (116 nucleotides) under Candidatus Wukongarchaeota archaeon. Its description in RNAcentral is "tRNA-Leu". It matches the Rfam family "tRNA". Rfam says of the family: Transfer RNA (tRNA) molecules are approximately 80 nucleotides in length. Lineage: Archaea; Promethearchaeati; Candidatus Wukongarchaeota. The record is from RNAcentral.